UACGUAGGGGGCUAGCGUUGUCCGGAUUUAUUGGGCGUAAAGAGCGUGUAGGCGGCCAGGUAGGUCUGGUGUGAAAACUCGAGGCUUAACCUCGAGAUGUCAUCGGAAACCAUUUGGCUAGAGUCCGGAAGAGGAGAGUGGAAUUCCUGGUGUAGCGGUGAAAUGCGCAGAUAUCAGGAAGAACACCAAUGGCGAAGGCAGCUCGCUGGGACGGUACUGACGCUGAGACGCGAAAGCGUGGGGAGCGAACAGG
Molecule: ribosomal RNA, 253 nt
Filed under: uncultured bacterium
Lineage: Bacteria
Description: partial 16S ribosomal RNA
Rfam family: Bacterial small subunit ribosomal RNA
Source: RNAcentral